Molecule: ribosomal RNA, 497 nt
Filed under: uncultured bacterium
Lineage: Bacteria
Description: partial 16S ribosomal RNA
Rfam family: Bacterial small subunit ribosomal RNA
Source: RNAcentral
GAUGAACGCUGGCGGCGGGCCUAAUACAUGCAAGUCGAGCGAACGGACGAGAAUUGCUCUUGUCUGAUGCUACCGGCGGAUGGGUGAGUAACAGGUGGAUAACCGACCGAUAGGACUGGCAUAAGGUCGCGAAACCUGAUCUCACACCGGCUCAUAGUUUGAAACGCAGGGUUCAAAGGAGCUAGCCGGUCUUGCUGUCCCUUAGACGUGUAUCCGCGCUGCUUUAGCUAGUUGGUAAGAAAACGGCUUACCAAGGCAACUAUGCAUAGCCGACCUGUCAGGAGGAUCGGCCACACUGGAACUGAGACACGGUCCAGACUCCUACGGGAGGCAGCAGUAGGGAAUCUUGGACAAUGGGCGAAAGCCUGACCGAGCCACGCCGCGUGAGUGAUGAAGGUCUUCGGAUCGUAAAACUCUGUAAUUAGGGAGGAACAUCUGUAUGAGUAUCUGUGGCCAUCUUGACGGUACCUAAACAGAAAGCCCCGGCUAACUUCGUG